Molecule: long non-coding RNA, 400 nt
Organism: Sorghum bicolor (sorghum)
Lineage: Eukaryota; Viridiplantae; Streptophyta; Magnoliopsida; Poales; Poaceae
Exons: 3
Source: RefSeq, a predicted model, not a curated record
GAAGCACUUGUCUGUACUCAAGAUUGGUUGCGAAGGGCCACUCCCAUUAGUAUCCAGGAGGACAUGGAGCAAUUGGGUGAACUAGAGAAAGAGUUGAUUCAAGAAUAUGCUGAUGGGAAAGGUAAACGCAAGGCCGAUUCAUUAUCAGAGAGUGCAAGCAAGGCAACAACAACACCUACCAGCACUUCCUAAAUAUGCUACUGUCAUGCACUCAACAAGUGCUAGGAUGUGUUGCUGGCUUGCUGCUACGUUGCUAGCUACUGGUUGGUUGCUAUGAAGCCUUGAAGGACUGAUGUUGAAUGGCGAUGGCACUCUGCCAGGAUGUGCCCACUCUGUCAUUUAUGAACCUAUGUAAUAUUACAAAUUUAUUUAGUGUUGUAAGCCUGUAAGUGUGUAGUCC